UACGUAGGGCGCAAGCGUUGUCCGGAAUUAUUGGGCGUAAAGAGCUCGUAGGUGGUUUGUUACGUCUGCUGUGAAAUCCUAGGGCUUAACCCUGGGCUUGCAGUGGAUACGGGCAGACUAGAGGCAGGUAGGGGAGAAUGGAAUUCCCGGUGUAGCGGUGAAAUGCGCAGAUAUCGAGAGGAACACCGGUGGCGAAGGCGGCUACCUGGACAGUGACUGACGCUGAGACGCGAAAGCGUGGGGAGCAAACAGG
RNAcentral lists this ribosomal RNA (253 nucleotides) under uncultured bacterium. RNAcentral describes it as "partial 16S ribosomal RNA". It matches the Rfam family "Bacterial small subunit ribosomal RNA", at positions 524 to 776 of the family's 1533-position model. The record is from RNAcentral.